GGGCUCUUUGUUGCCAACUGAACUGCUUGAGAAAUACAGCAUCCAAAUGUACUCUACACUCAGACCACAACUUAUUUUAUAGUCUUCAAUAAGACUUUCAUUCUUUAAAA
This is a long non-coding RNA of Etheostoma spectabile (orangethroat darter), 110 nucleotides long. RefSeq lists it as uncharacterized. The record is from RefSeq and is a predicted model, not a curated record. The transcript has 3 exons. NCBI's taxonomy places the organism in Eukaryota, Metazoa, Chordata, Actinopteri, Perciformes, Percidae.